GGAAAGUUUUGUCUCUACUUGUUUGCUCCCCCUUCCUAGAUAAAGAAGGUCUCUCCAGACUUCAGGCAGUUGUUGGGGAAUGGACACAUUAGGAUGAGAGGUAGGUUCUGUAUUUGCAGGAAUUCCUACAGGCCAUGCUCUUCUACGUCUGGCCCAUGUUUGUGCCACUGACAACUUUUAUUCUGCCUCUUUUGGUUUUGUGUUACCAUGAAAACCAUGGAAUUCCAUUGAUGGGAUCCGUAUGGAUACAAGGAAUAUGAAAAGGAAAACAAACAAUAUAUCAAAGGACUGUCAAGAAUUUCAGUGUCCAAAUUUUCCAUGCUUGCCCCUUACAAGACUGCGUGUUCAUCACCAGACUCAAUUUCUCUUUCACUAAUGAUCCUUUCCUUGAGGGAGUGUCUAAUUAUCUGACCUCCCUGACUUGUCCUCUCUUCUCUUCUUUCCCUUCUGUGGCUAGAGGAUUUGGGGAUGGCCAUAAAUACUACAAAGGUCAAUGGUUCCAGCUUUCCUCAGGAAGCAGAAACAAAAGCAAACCCAUCCAAUCACUCUGAACACUCUUUAAAGUCUUGAAGAAAUAGUGGAAGGUUUGAGGUGAAGUUUUGUAACCUGUCUGGACCAGGAUACUCUUCCUUGACAUAAAUCAGGAGAGGAAACGCAACGUUUGGCUAAUCUGAGUAGGACUUUGAUGAUAAUUUGCCAAGAGAGAGAAGUUAAAGUAAGCGGUACAACAUGAAAUAACAGUAACUAAAAUUAAUGGAGCUGUAAAUGGGAUUGCAUUGUGCAGGGCCCCAACAUAUGGUUCAAAUUCAGCGCUUCCUCUGUAUCUGACAGAAUUCUUACAGCAAGAAUGCUUCUGAAGAACCGCCGCUGCACCCACCAUGAAAACACAGAGAAGAAAACCUCACCCCACGAUGUCUCUUCACCAUUCUUUUUCCUCCCAUGGUGACUGUGGUUUUAUUUAUGCUCUCAAUUAAACAUGGGUCUGAGUUUGCACUUGUAAAUGGAUUUAUCCAUCUUAUUUAUGGUAUAAACCUCAAGGCAUACAGUAGAAGGUCAUUUGGAUAGCAGAGUUGAGAUAUACUCCACAGCAAGAACCAUCUGAAAUGUAGACUGAUAGUAAGCAGAAUGUAGGCAGCUUGACAGAUAUUGGCAUGGAAUCUACAGGACGCACAAAUCUACCUAAAGAGGCAAAUGGAGGCCAACCAUACAAUUGCAAAACAACUCCAUUGGCCAAGUUUAGGAACCUUAGCAUACAGUUGUUGUCAAUAAAAGAGACAGAUGUCUUGGCUCUGAACGUAAUCAACUGAAAUCUAGUCAGUGCGGUCAGCAGUGCCUAGAGAGCUAUUCAUAGGAGUAAAUGUAGAGAUUCAACUCAGUUGCUUCAACAUAGGUAUCAGUGUUCUUUUGCCAUAUCCUCCCGUAUUUAAGGUAUUCACGCAAGACUGACAGAUACAAUUUGAGAGUAAUGAGAAAUGAAUGGUCUCUAGAAGCAGCAGCUAGGUACCAGGCAGGAUGCCAUAGAUACAUCUACGCUUUGGCAACCAAACCUCCAGGUGAUGUGCAAUCACAGGAACACACUCUGUGUGGACUGAACAACAAAUAAAUCAAGGUUAAAAGCAGCCCAUUAGCAAAGAUCUCAACCUCAGCUCCUUCUGCAUUAGCUAUGAAGAGUGUACAGCACACAGCAUGAAUGAAAAGCAUAUGAGUUUCAAAGCUCAUGAGUUAACCUGUUGCCAAGUUCAUUCUUCACCACGUAGACUAGACUGAAGCUACAAUUCUUCAGCCUAUGCCAAACACAGACCAACAUUUUGGCCUCGUUCUAAGUAAGGAGUGUAUAUCACGUUAACAGAAAUCUGGAAGGAACUAGGCCGGAUAGGAACGUCACUAAGAUGAAGAAUUCAUGCCUAUGUAUUAAUUCUACUAUUUCCAUAGCAUAUAAUUAUUACCAUCAGAGCGAAUAGUGAGCUAUCCCUCUUCCUCAAGCCUGCAGUGAGUCUGACUUCUGUAGCUGUGCUUAAUUGUUGCCAGGAAUCCCUGUAGCAGCAUUACCCUGUUUAAUAUUACAUGACAUGAGAAAAUUAAAUGAUCAAUAUCAAGUUAAGAGCACUCAGUUGUUCCUUCUUUACUUUUGUAAUUGCUAGUGUGAUGAGAAAAUAAUUAUGAUGUUGAGUUUAUUGCUAUUCUCAUUGUCCUCUGUUAGUGAUUCUUGUUGUUCAGCUACGGACAUGUCCAAUUUGAAUUGUCUAUAAUAUUGUUGCCCUGGAAGGAAAAAGAAAGGAAAGGGGAAGGGAUAGGAACUAUGAGAAAUUAAAGGCUGAUCUAAGAUUAACAAAGUGUUUACUUUGACUCUUGGCAAGGUCUGUUUGUAAAAGGACACUACAAAAGCAAAAAUCAUCUAGAGAGGAUUUGUUUAAAGUGACACUGUCAGCUUAAAUAUCACACUUCAAGAUCUUUUUUAACUUUAUGUUGUUAUAAGUAACGCCCAAACGAAUUAUAUCCUGUUAAUACCAUUGGAACACCUCAGAUUAUUACAGCUGACAGAGUAUAGAAAAAUAUUUCUCUCUAAGUUUUCAUUUGUUUUCAUUGCACUUGAUAGCUCUCUAUCCACGAGCACCAAGAUAUAUGGAAAGCCUACACACAAAAAGUGCCAUGUAAAAUAUUGCCCAAGUCUUCCAUAGCUUUUUAUUGAUGUGAACUCACCAACAGCUGAAUUUUUUUUUUUAAUUUCAUCACUUCCCUCUCCAUGUGUUAGGGUUCUUUCCCGUUGCUGGUAUGACUUCCUGACAGAGUAACAGAGAGAAAAAAAAAAUACCACCAAUGGAUUUAGAAAUAUAAUUUUUAAAACCAGCAGGGAAAAUAGAAAAACAGAAAUCCCCAUUAGACCUCAGCAGGAGCAGUUCUCCUUAGGGUCUUUGCUUUCGCCCAUGUGAGAACAAGAAUACCUACCUC
Molecule: long non-coding RNA, 2949 nt
Filed under: Gallus gallus (chicken)
Lineage: Eukaryota; Metazoa; Chordata; Aves; Galliformes; Phasianidae
Source: RNAcentral